Molecule: long non-coding RNA, 398 nt
Organism: Diceros bicornis minor
Lineage: Eukaryota; Metazoa; Chordata; Mammalia; Perissodactyla; Rhinocerotidae
Exons: 3
Source: RefSeq, a predicted model, not a curated record
UGGGUUCACGGCACCUUGGAUGGACUGCACUGUGAAUCAUCAAGGUCUAAAAGUAUGUUGUGCACGCUGUGUGAGAGAUGUUACACGAGGGGCGCCUUAAGCUUCAGGGAGAUCUGGGGGAACUUGGAAGAGCUUCAAGAAUUAGCAGGAUUGGACGCUGUUUGAAACCAGAGUCAAGGGUGGUUGGUGAAGGCAGGGACUGUAUCAUCCUAAAGCAAAUUCUCUGAGAACAGGGUCUGAUCUGAGUGGCCGGACUGAGUGACCCUGCUCUCUGCAGCUGACCAAGGCUUUACCUGAAGAGAACUUCUUCACUUCAGAUUUAAGUCAAUCCUUCCAGGAAACUUAUUAUGGUUUUCAGAGCUACAUCUCGUGUCACAAAAUGUAUGUUGCUUUACGAA